Molecule: non-coding RNA, 516 nt
Organism: Pelobates cultripes (western spadefoot toad)
Lineage: Eukaryota; Metazoa; Chordata; Amphibia; Anura; Pelobatidae
Source: the annotation of a GenBank genome assembly
CCUGCUUGACCGCAUGGCUUGUCCAGCACAAUGGAGGAGGGGAAUACUACAUCCUGUAUUCUUGCACAUGCUCCGUACACUACUGAUCGUAUCUUGCCUCGUGCAACCAACUGAUCGAUACGUCAGCAUAUGCACGUACACAUGCCACGUGGUAAUCUCGGCCUACUUAAUUUAUUUUUACCGAGAUUCCACCACAUUCCCCCCUUUGAUGCCUCUUGAUAUUUUACAAUUACUUGAGGCAUCACUUAACCUUGGUUUGCAUACACCACAAGUUACCUUUGAACCAGACCAGACUUAUCCUAUGAUGUGAAUCUUCAACACUCGUCUUCCUGCAUUGGUUCUCCCUGAUCUAGAGCCUUAUAUUUAUAAAUUGCCAUUAUCUGUGCAGCAGCCUUCCUCUCUGCUAUAUUUUCUAUCAGGCUUUGCACAGACCUAACUACUAAGGGUAUAAGACACGGCAGGAGUAGACACAACAUUAAAAUCAGUAGGACUCCACCUACCACUACCUUAAGCCCU